Molecule: transfer RNA, 65 nt
Filed under: Pelagomonas calceolata
Lineage: Eukaryota; Pelagophyceae; Pelagomonadales; Pelagomonadaceae
Rfam family: tRNA
About the family: Transfer RNA (tRNA) molecules are approximately 80 nucleotides in length. Their secondary structure includes four short double-helical elements and three loops (D, anti-codon, and T loops).
Source: RNAcentral
GGUAUCGUCAAGUGGUAAGACAAUUGUUUUUGGUACAAAUAUUCAAAGGUUCGAAUCCUUUUACC